AAAAAGUGCGUCGUAGUCCGGAUUGGAGUCUGCAACUCGACUCCAUGAAGUCGGAAUCGCUAGUAAUCGUGGAUCAGAAUGCCACGGUGAAUACGUUCCCGGGCCUUGUACACACCGCCCGUCACACCAUGGGAGUGGGCUGCAAAAGAAGUAGGUAGUUUAACCUUCGGGGGGGACGCUUACCACUUUGUGGUUCAUGACUGGGGUGAAGUCGUAACAAGGUAGCGCUAGGGGAACCUGGCGCUGGAUCACCUCCUUAAACGAUGAU
RNAcentral lists this ribosomal RNA (268 nucleotides) under Vibrio parahaemolyticus. RNAcentral's name for it is "partial 16S ribosomal RNA". It matches the Rfam family "Bacterial small subunit ribosomal RNA", at positions 1276 to 1533 of the family's 1533-position model. The record is from RNAcentral. Lineage: Bacteria; Pseudomonadati; Pseudomonadota; Gammaproteobacteria; Vibrionales; Vibrionaceae.